UGAAGAUGAACAAGGUUCGAAGAUAGACAGCAACCAUUCCCCAACAACGGCGCCAGAAAUGCUUGUUAGUAUUUCUUAACUUUAGAGAUAAAAUCCGCAAGCUCACGGAUAAUACCGAUGUAGCACUUCACCCAGGAGUAUUCUCAGGUAUCGAUUUCCAUAGGGAACGUGUGUGUCAACUCCGGGUUUAGGUUCAUCCAAGGACACGAAGCUAUGGAUAGGCAAAGGAUAGAGAGGUUUCACCGGUGAAGAACAGGGUCUACAUAAAGCUUAACUUUAAUCCUAAUGAGGUAUUUCGGGCACUGUUGGUAUUUAUUACGAUCACAGAUAGAAUCCGCAAGCGCACUAAUAUACCGAUGUAGCACUUCCCCUAUGGAGUAUUUCAAGGGUAUUGAAUCCAAGGGAACGUGUGUGAUUAUCUCCUCGUCAGGUUCACCAAGGACACAAAGCUAAUGCGGGCAGAGGGCAUAGAGGAUUGCCUAAUGAGAAACAGUGUCUAGGGAAAUGUUAACUUUAAUCCUAACGCAAUACUUCAAGCACUGGCAACCCGUUGUUUCUAGAAGUUGCUCUACUACGUACCCGGACAGGGAGGACUUAAGUGCUCUUGAGAGCUGUCACCACCUCUACACCCACCUCAAACGUAUUGUAGGAUACGCAGCAACCAUUGGAGAUUAAUUACCUAGACAUCACAUCUACGCAAUUAAUAACUACUCUAGUGCCGAUCAAACACUAAAGCAAUCACUAUAAAUAAAUGGACUAUAGUGAACAAUGAUCCCGCAUGCUAAUUAGCUAGAAACUAACCAAGAAGUAAUUCUUACGAAGCAAACCUUAAUUACUCAGAAUGAUAUUUCUAUUAAAACAAAACAAUUAACAAGAUACAAGAGUAGAAGGAGAUUAAUGACAACUUCGGGAUUCCUCUGAUUCCUUCUACCUUACUCUCUCUCUUUUCUAAUAUACAAUAAAGUACACUAGAGCCUCUUGUAAUUCAGCUCAUGCUUUGGUGUGUGAGUGAAGUGAGAGAGAGGAGCUCUAUUUAUAGGCUUCAUAUGACGGUUACAGCUAUGAGAAAUGUCCUAAACGCCCUCCAACCGUCAUUAGGGAGCAACCCUGGACGUCCAUGUGGAAGGCUGGGAUGAAUUGGGCUUUGUGGCGGUUCGGCCGAACCAUGGGCUGGCCCAACCGUCUCCGGCCUUCUUUUAUUUCUUGACAUUUGGGUCCCACUUUAUUAUUCUUCUAGCGUUGGCCCAAUAAAUAAUGAUUUAAUAUAGUUUGUGGGCUCAUCACUCCAUGGACUCCAGCGGGAUGUAUAAUUCCCCUCCCUAUAUGUUUAUUUCCUCUCAACUUUAGUAGUUUGUCACCUGCAUACAAAUAUACACCAACACUGGUGGAAAUCAUUAGAAAUAAAACCUACCACUAUGAUUGAUGUUUCACAUUUAUAGUUUUAUGCAGGUAUUGACGGUGUUAUUUUGUAUUUAACAGCCGUCAACAGGCACUGGACAGCUCGCUGCUCCCAGAUAUCACUCUACUACACACCCGGACAGAGGUGACUUCAGCAUCGUGAGGGCUGUCACCACCUCUACACCUACCUCACACCUACUGUGGGAUGCGGAGCAAACACCGAAAAUUAACUACCUAGACACCGUGUCUAAGUAGAUUAAUUACUUACGUUAAUGUUAACUAUACACCAAAGUAAAUCACUAUAGUUUAGUUGAUUAUAGUGGACGAUUAUAAUAGACUAAGGCCCAUCUUUUAAUUCCAAUAUUUCCUUGAUAUUCUGUGUGGCUUUUAUGUUAUAAGCUGGACUCUGUAAUUGAAAAAUUGAAAUGGAUUAGAGAUAGAGAAAUCCAGAAGAAUUCCCUCAAGCGUUGCUCUGUUCCUCUCUGUUUUCUUUGUUUCCAUGCUCUCUUUCUUGCCAGAUUAGCUACAGAAAUAUCGCAAGGUGCUUGACGCCUUGACCUCGUGCCUAUGCCCAUCUGCCGGUCCCCACCCUAGACAGUACGCACGAAAAACGGAGCAUUUUAUUAGCAUAUGAUUAAUUAAAUAUUUUUUUUUCAAAAAUUGAUCAAUAUGAUUUUUUAAACAACUUUCGUAUAGAAAUAUUUUUUUUUAAAAAAGCACCAUUCAAUAGUUUAACGAAGCAAUGGAGUUGGAAACUUUGGAGUUCCAAACAAACCCUAAUUAAUAAACCAACAGCCGCACGCCCGGGUGGCCUCGAGGAGAUCGGGAAUAGGGUAGAGCAGUCGUCAUAGCGUUGGGAGUUGACAGGUUAGUUCGUUUCCUCUGGUUCCCAGCUCUCCACUCUCGUCUUCCACACGCACGUUUUUCAAACUGCUAAACGGUAUGUUUUUUUUUUGCAAAAAAGUUUCUAUAUGAAAGUUGCUUAAGAAAAUCUUAUUGGUCCAUUUUUGAAAAAAAAUAGCUAAUACUUAAUUAAUUACACGCUAAGGGGCAUCCACAAUGUGAAGCAAAAGUAGUCCAUAGGCAAUAUAAUAUUCUAUUCAGCUACCUUUUAUCAUUAUACAACUAGUCUAUAUGGAGAAAAUAACAAAAGGUAUCCAUAAGCAUAUGGACUACCCAUCUGGAAUAAAUAAUACUAUCUAUCUCUAUUUCUCUCUCAUGUCCUAAUGCUGCUACCUUGUAUCUAUAUACAUCGUGGAGGUUGCUAUAGUUAAAGUCUUUUUAUGUGGGUCCCAUCUAUAUGGAUCACUUUUGCCAUAUAUAUUGGUGAUGCCCUAAUAGACUGCUCGGUUUUCUGUGCGGAGGAGUUUGGUUCCCAACCAUCCAAAACGAACACAACCUAGUAGCUAGGCUUUUGCAUUUUACCACCUUCGUCCUAAAAAAAUUACAAUUAUAGGUUAUUUAGCAUAUACUAUUAAGAUUGAUGAAAAACUAUGGUAUGUCUCAUUAGAGCAUCACCAACAGCCAUCCUAUAUUCUUCCCAAAACUGAUUUUAAUGUAUUUUAUAUAAAAGAUGUAUCUAACAUAUCCCCUAUAGUCCUACACAUGUUUUGGAGUUUCCUUCCCCGUAUUUCUCGCUCCGUUGAUUCGAGGGAGGAGUGCGAUCUAUUCUCGGCGCAUACGGAGAAAAAAAAAUUCGUCGGUAGUUUAACAGAAGGGGUCUACUUUGUGGAGAAAAAUAAAUUCGUUGGUAGUUUAACAGAAGGGGUCCACUUUUAGUUUUUUUAUAAAUUUUAGGCUUUCUUUUAAGGCGACAUCAGUUUAUUUAUUUACUUCCUAUUUUCAGUUUAGGAAAACUAAAAACAAAUUUUCAGAGGAAGAUUAUACGUAAUCUCUUGGUGAUGCUCUUAAAUGGUGUAUAAGAAUAAAAUUGAAUGAGAAGUGAUUAUGAGACAAUUAAUACUCUAUUGUGACAAUUAUUUUUGACAGAUUUGAAUCCUAUAAUUGCAAUUAUUAUGGGACAUAGGUUAUAAUUAUGUAGCACAGCUUACAAAGCAACCGCUUGUAAUAAACUUUUGUAUUUUAUUAUUUCUGUAUUAUCAUAAAUAGCAGUGCUUGUAUUAAACUGCCCGAGUACACAAAUAACUAUAGAUGAUAAUACAAGCACUGCUUACAUUGCAACUCAUACAUUUAACAGUAUUGCAUAUACAUUUAAUAGUAUAGUGCGUACGCCCACGAGUACAUGUGUACGAGUAUACGAACUAGUGAUUACCUGCCACACCGGCAAUGUGGUUGUGUAUGGAUAUUUAUACGCGCGCACGUACGUAUGCUAUACACACAUGUAUGAGAUGGUGCGCCGGGAAGUAUGGCUGGAUUCUUAUAUGUUCCUUAUUACAAUAUAGCUGAACGCCAUCUUCGAUCCGAUGAAUAUCUUCUAUGCAUGCUUCCGCUGCUCACGCGCUACAUGCAGAUUACUACUUUAGAUAUUGAUAUUAGAAACAAAUACUUAAGUUUGUGUAUGAAUGUGCCUGGAAUAUAUUUCUGAUAUAAGUAAAUACUUCUCCGUAAAUAUUUCACUGUUCCCUUAAUAAUUAAUUAAACUCGUAAGGCAGGGUACAUUAGAUAUAUGUACCUAUGUAUUUAUCAUGGGCCGGGGAAGUACGCGAUUGUGUUUACCGCCUGGAUUGCUUGCUCCAUAUCAUUCUCCGAUCAGCUGUGUCAAAGGUAUAUACAAACAAAGUUAUUAAUCCACAACGGUGGAACUGAUGAACUUAUUCCAAAUAUUGUUUUUUUUUUUUCGCAUGCAUGCAUGUAUCGAUUGAUCGGUGUUGCACAUUUGGCCAAUUCAGUGAAGUCAUGUCCCGAGGACAAGAGCCUAACGACAGUUCAGGCCACCGUGAGUAUAUGCAUAUCUAUAAUGAUAUGCACAAUAUUUUAACAAACAUAUCUAUAAUUUUAUAAUAUUUAACAUAUACUUAUCAAUACAUUUCACACUAAAGUGCCGGCAUCAUUUGUUUGUUUAAUAAUAAAUGCUAAUAAACCAUGAUGUUUUAUUAUAUUUUUUUACUUCUAUCUUGAUUGUCUAAAAAAAUAUAUAUUUCGAUCUGUGUAUUCCACCGAUGGAGAAUACUUCCUCCACAUCUUUUAAGUGCAGUUGUGGAUUUUUUUAAUAUUUAAUCAUCCGUUUUAUUUGAAAUUAUUUUAUAAUUAGUUUUUUUAUAAGAUGAUAAACCAUAAAUAGUAUUUUAUGUUUGACUUUGUUUUUUAAGUUCUUCAUAAACUUUUCAAGACAGUCAAACGUUGGACACGGGAACUCACGACUACACUUAAAAUGGGAUGGAGUGAGUAUAUAUAUACUUUAUCCGUUGUGCAUUCCUCCAAUGGAGAAUAUAUACUUCCUCCAUCGUGCAAUAAGUUCUAUUUUAACUUUUUUUUUCAUUUGUCUCAAAAUUUUUUAGUAAUCAAUACAUCAAAUUUUGUGAAAUAGAAAAUAAUUAUAUUAGGAGAAGAUAGAGGGAGAAAUAGUUACAUCGAUUGUGAUUUGAUAAAGUAGUGUCAUGCUAGUUGUUUUGUUUUUCACUGGUAUACAUGUGAUGGGUAAAAAGCAAAUAUAUUUCGAACGAAGGUAGUAUAUAUAUAGGCGUGUACGUACCGGGUGGUUCGCUGACAGACGGUUGUUGCGAUCCAGCUGUCAGAACGCGAGAUAAUCAGGUAUCAGAACGCGCUGUAAAUUAAACGUGAACAACAAUAAUUGAGUGUACAGGCGUAUGUAUAUAGUACGUACCGGCAGAUGUGCCUUGUUUACUGGAACGUCUGUAUGUCAUCCUUGUGCCUUCUGCUAUGUAAAAAAAAGUGCAAAUUAAUUAACACUAUUGCAAAAUACCAUGUAGAGGCCGACCAGCUGACACCUACGAAGCUUCUUCUAUAUUUUUCCAAUGUAAAGUUAAGAACAGUUACCUAUAACCACUCAUCGGUACCCAGUUUGUUUUAAAAACCAGCACCAUAAUCCUCCGAAAUUAUUAGUGUCAGUUCUUAUAACAAACUGGUAGACAAGGUCAUACAUAAGUACCGGCUCUUAUAAUAAACCGGCACCUAUAAAUGUGAUACCAUUGGUACUGGUUUUUAUCAUAAACCGACACAUAGGAGCAUCACAUAUGUGCCGGUUUUCAAUAAAAACUAGCACCUAUGAGUCCAUAGGUACAGGUUUACAAUUAAAACCAGUACCGAUAAUAACGCAACUUAUAUACGCAUGUUUUUUAUCGAACUUUUUCAUAUGGAAGUCGGGUGAAGAUAAAUUUUAUGUCAAAUUUCUAGAGCUCGACAAGAUCUACAACUUUCUAGUUAAUCACUUUGGAUUUAAGGUCGUUUGGAUGUCUGAAAAUAUGUUGCAAGAUCUCAGAUCUAUUUGCAUAGGUGGAUAUUUAAAAUUUUUGAACGAUAUUGGAUGGAGACAAAACCUAUAUAAAUUAUAUCUACGUUGUUUUAGUUGACAAACUUUUUAUUUGAGCUCUCUUUGGUGUUAAAUAUGAAUUAUAAUUUCGGAUGACAAUAAUUUCAAAAGAAUAACAUUUGUUUCCAAGACAACAAAUGCUUGUCAGUGAGAUGGUGAGGCUUUGGUUCAAGGGAAAGGUUUUGAGUUGCAAUCUUACUUGACACAUAUAUACAUGAAUAUGAGUUAAAAAAAUCGUGUGACUUGUGGGAAAAAGAGUACGAUCGUAUAGGUUGCUAAUAAAAAUAUCAAAUAUUUUUUCGAUAUUUUAGCAUCUGCAAAAUUAAAAAAAAAUUGUGCAACCCCGAAGGUACCGAAUAAUUUGUGCCGGUACUUACAACCCCAUUAAAACGGGUACCUAUAACCGUGUAUGUAGUAGUGUAACAAAAGAUAAUCAUAGUAUCUCAUAACACAGUAAACAUGAGUUAAGAAUGAUUGAACCUUAUACGAACGGUAUAUAUAUCGUAUGAAAAAAUAAACGUCGAUUCGGCUGCUGGGUUAGAAGAUGACAAUACUACGAUAAUACGUACAUUAUAUUCAUCUCAUCAUUAGGAAGAAAUAAAGAUGGCCAGUACCAUAAGUUAAAAAGAGCCUUUAAUAUAUAACACAGUUGAUUUUUUUGUCACACGUUCAUCUUAUUAAAAAAAUUAAAAUUAAUUUUGUUAUCACUCAAAGUACUUCAAGCAUAAUUUAUCUCUUCGUAAUCCGAUGAGCAUCUCAACCCCUAUUUUCGAUUUCCCAGGCAGACGUGUGGUUCCAAAAAAGUAUCCGACUGGAAAAAUGAAAGGGCCUUGUCUGCGAAAAUGAAUUUUUAGUAGUGUUCUACAUUUGCAAAAAAAAAAUUAAAGAAGAUGAAUAAUUAAGUAUGUGUUUAAAAUUUAACUAUAUCAUUUCCAAAAAAUGGAGGAAGUAUUUACAUUUCUCGAUGCCCAUAUAGCCAAUCUUGUGUAGAAGAAUGGAGAGUCACGCAUUAAAUCCGAGAAAGUCAUUAUUCAUUAAGAUGAUAGGUGGUAGGAUUGAAAUAUGCGUAUCAAAAAUAAAUUUUGCAGAUUUAGAAAUUUUUCAGAUUUGGAAAUAUGCCUAUCAAAAAUAGAUGGAGGGUUUAAAGUUUAACAUGCAAAUAUGUUACAUUAUCAUCUACUAACAAUUACAUUUAAGCAUCAUAUGAGCAUGCUAUAUUAUCUAUAAUUUUAUAAUUUAUUAAUUUUUACAGAUUUAAAAUGCAAGCAUGUUAAAUCAUCCCACAUAAUUCAGAUAAUAUUUCAAUAUAUCUCUCCAUCAUGUUUUAUAACAUCCUAUAUAACUAUACAGUCCAUCCUUAUAACCCACUAAAUUCUAAAGUUUAACAUGCAAAGAUAUUACAUCAUCAUCUACUAACAAUUACAUUUAAGCAUCAUACAAGCAAGCUAUAUUAUCUAUAAUUUUAUAAUUUAUUAAAUUUUAGAGAUUUCAAAUGCAAGCAGGUUAAAUCAUCCCACAUAAUUCACACAAUAUUUCAAUAUAUCUCUCCAUCAUUUUUUAUAAUAUCCUAUAUAACUAUAUAGUUCAUCCUUAUAACCCACUAAAUCAUAAAGUUUAACAUGUAAAGAUGUCACAUCAUUAUAUACUAAUAAUUACAUUUAAGCAUCAUACAAGCAUGUUAUAUUAUCUAUAAUUUUGUAAUUUAUUAAAUUUUAAAGAUUUAAAAUGCAAGCAUGUUAAAUCAUCCCACAUAAUUCAGAUAAUAUUUCAAAAUAUCUCUCCAUCAUUUUUUAUAAUAUCCUAUAUAACUGUAUAGUCCAUCCUUAUAACCCACUAAAUCGUAAAGUUUAAAAUGCAAAGAUAUCAAAUCAUCAUCUACUAACAAUUACAUUUAAGCAUCAUACGAACAUGCUAUAUUAUCUAUAAUUUUAUAAUUUAUUAAAUUUUAGAGAUUUAAAAUGCAAACAGGUUAAAUCAUGCCACAUAAUUCACAUAACAUUUCAAUAUAUCUCUCCAUUAUUUUUUUAUAAUAUCCUAUAUAACUAUAUAAUUCAUCCUUAUAACCUACUUGCACCAUGGCCAUCGUGUUUACCUUCCAUCUGCAGCCCUAAAUAAGUGGAUUGGUCAUUAACAUAUAAACGCAUACAUUAUGAGGUAGUGUCAUAUUCUUGAUUAGAUUAAAUUGGCACUUGUUAUGAAACGAGACCACCUGUGGGUAUAUGACAUGAUCAAUGGUUGUAUCCAUCGUAGGCAUGGUCACAUCCUCCUCCCCUUCUUCACGGAAAACCAUCCUCGGUUUUAACUUUGGUAAUUCACGUAGCAUAUCCUCACACAGCGCUUCAUAUGGUGCAUUCUUUACUGUAUAUGGCAGCAACAUUGAGCGAUCUUGUCGCUCCCCUUCUUGAGAACCAACCUGCGUCUUUGGAAAAAAAGCAAAACAAACUUGAAGUAACAUCAGUGGUCCUAACACUAGUCUCCAGUUUGCAUUUUCUUGCCACAACAAUAGAGGGUUGCAUAUCUGAACAAAUGUAAACUUUGUGCACCAAAUAAAUUCCUCUACCAUUAUAUUUGCCAAAGAUGUGAAAAAUAACAUUACGAGGACAUGGCAAAUCAGAAUUAGCAAAUAUUUUGUCCUUCAAACAAUUGAGCUCACAAGAAUCAUCAAACAUAAUAUAGCCCAAUGUAUUUAAAGAAGAUUGCAAUUGAAGUUCAUCAUUCUCGUUGGACGUGUGAAUAACAUGCUUAAUUCAGUACAUGGAGAAUCAAGAUUAAAAGUAGCAUGUUCAUUCACUAGUUGUGGAAUGGUAUAUAAGUGAAGUACUAUCGCACAACUCUUCUUUAUCACAAGGAACAGAAUGCAAAUCAACUUGUGACAAAGGCAAUUCAGAAGUAGGUUCCACUAAAGUUUGCUCUAGGUCAGCAUGGAAAUUACUCACCUUGAGUAAUUUCUGCACCAUUUAAUUUACCUUUUAUGCCCUCUUAAGAUAAUGUAGGUGCAUCAGCCUUCUCCUCAUUUGCGAGUGAUGGAAGUGACAUAUCUAACAUAUUGUUCUUCUUAUUUUGGGGACUGUUCUGAACUUCCUGUAAAACAUCAGUGAUAGGAGGCACAAGCAUAGCUUGUUGCCCCGUUGGGUUCUCCAAAAUUUUGCGCUCAACGUUGCAAGCAAGCAUGAACAAUUGGCCUAUAUGAUUAUAUGUCACAUUAUCAAACCCAGCCUGAAUAUUGGAAUUAAGCCCUUUGAAAAAUCUAGUCAUUAUGUUCUCAUUAGAUUCUUGUAAACCACUAUAAGUGAUACAAAUUUAAUAAUCAUGAAAGUACUCCCUAACAGUUUUGUCACCAAGUUUUAGAUGUUCAAAUUUCUCAAGGAGAGCACGUUUAUAAUAUGAAAACACAAAAUUUUUCCUCAUCAUUGUUUUGCAUUCAUCCCAAGUUUCAAGCUUAUUGCCAAUAGUAUACCACCAAAAAGAUGCAGAACCGGUACAUUUACUACUAGCAGGCUUAAUCAUUUGAGCAUUAGAGAAAUCAUACUCAUCAAAUUGUUUGUCUACUGCUAACUCCCAAUUAACAUAAGCGGCAGAAUCAUACUUACCAUCAAUAACUGGUAAUUUAGAUUCUAACCUUGCAAGAUCAUUAUCAUGUACCUCAUAUGUGAUGCGUGAAGAAGUCGCUAUAUCUCGUUGAUGGUGAAGAUGUUGAUGUUGAGCAUAACCAUCUCGUUUCGCCUUGCGCAAUCCUGCCAUGGUUAGUAGCAAACAAGAAACAUACACAAGAAUAUGCAUGCUCCUAUCAACUACUAGGUAGUGGCAGCUGAAAUAUUACUAACACUCAAACUUUUCACCAAGCUCUUACAAGUUCUUACCAAAGCAAGCGGAAUGGUGAUGUACACCGACUCAACCAAGCACCCCAAUGGAGUUUGGAUGUAUCGAUGCCUUGGCAAACACUUGCUGUACGGCUGCAAUCAAAUCUGUGGAGCUUUGGGUAGGCUUAAAUAUGUAGCAAGGAUGGAAAAUGGUCAAAUCAGAGAAUGCAAAGUUGAAUAAUUGUUCAAAGUCAAGUACCGUGCUGGUCCUAGGCUAGAACGUACUAGAGACACGAGCCUAGACACAAACGAUACCACAAGAUAGCACUAGGAACAAUUCAUGCACAACUCUGAUAUAUAAAGUUCAGCUCAAACAUAACAAUAUUUUCUCUUUUCUUUCUUUCUUCUUUCUUUUUUUUUCUUUCCUUUCCUUUUCUUUUCUUUUUUUUGGGUGCGGCUUUUCUUUUCUUUUUUUAUGCACCUUUCUGCCUUUUUUUCCUUUCUUUUUUUUGAUUUUUUUUACAAAAACAAAUUCAAGGACCUCAAUGUAAGGUUACAGGGACUCAGAUGUACAUAUAAAAUUUACAGGGACUCAAAUGUAAAAGUCCAAACUCAAAAUUAAAAUUAUACAAAAAUGGAAUGCUCUCGUCCUACAGGUUCCAUUUUUGCAAACGGAUAUUGAAUCCGACACCAAAAGAAAAUUUUACCGGUGUUUGACACACCUGGACAGAAACGGAGUCGUGAGGGAGGGAGGGAGUCGGACUCACAAGUCCCGGCCACGAGAUUGGAAGGGAAGAGAUCCCACUCGGCCUCAGUUUGGAAAGGCACUAGGUAAUAAACAGAAACAGAUUCGGCACUUCCUUUUUUAGUAGUUUUGCGUGGCCCUCCAAAUAGAAACCAAUCUACAAAUUGUAGCACUUCAUCCAAAAACCGAUCUACUAUCCCCUCUCUCUCUUCUUCCUCACGCGCAACAUCACAGGCGUACUAUCACGGCACACACCAUCACGGCACAGCCACCGACUAGAAGCUAUGCAACUCAAAAACUCAAAAACUAACCUCAGAAACUUCUGAAAACUACAAAAAUAGAACCGUGGCAGCAAGCCGAUUCCAUUUUCGUAGGUCCCGACGACACCAAAGACAUGGAGGCGACGACGACUGUGGUGUAAAAUGUGACCAGAACUCGAAGGUCUAAGCGAACUAGACGCUAUGACCAGCAACUACGACUCGACGAUGCAACAGAAAACUCAACAAAGCAAAAACUGAAAUGGACAAUCCAAUGCACAAGUAUGGCUAGGCACAGGAUACAAUUUUUUUUUUGUAUGGCAAUUUUCUAGUUAUAGGAAGAUAAAAACUCACCGAGUAAUGAAAGCUCUGAUACCACCUGAUGGACCCUAAGCUCCACUUGAGACACUCAAGGCUGCUGUUGGCCCGAUCUUUCAGCGAGUUGUAGAUAACUAUGAUUUGAUAGAAACGUUGACGACCCGACUACAACCGUACUAGAUGUUGUUGUGUUGCGCCUUAGCGAUCGAUACACCUCUCCGUGGGUUGUUGAUCUUGCCUGUGCAAAUCAACCUUAUUCCUGCAAGCAAAUCGAAGAAACAAGAGAGAAAAAGAUAAAAGCAAUCUGAAUUGCAGAUAGGAAAUAAAUACAGAUGAUAAGUUGGGGUUCUGUAACGAGCAAACCGACGAUCUAACCGAUCACGGGAUUACAUGGAAAAGUAGCGAAGCUAAACUUUUAUCUAAAACAAAACCCAACUAACCCGGAAGGGGUUACUAGCUAUUUAAGGGAUGGAGGAGGUCAGAUGGGCGUCCUCCCUCUGUUUGGGGCGCAGCCCCCCUUGGGCCCUACUUGGGCUGGGGUCCCAGACGAAGUUACUGGCCCAUAGUCCCAUUACAGACAAUGCAGCCCUUUGUUUCUUCAAUUGCUAGUGACUCAGAUGGAAUUUGACAAUGAGGUUGGAUCCGUUUGAAAGAGAAUUCUAAGAGCUUUCCAUCAAGUACUCGUGGGCCCAAAACGGAGGCCAUAUGGAGAUUUGGCGACCGUUUGAAUUCAGCACUAUCUUAGGUGGCCGAAUUGGAUUCCAGAACGCGGGGGACUUCAACUCCAUCUCUGCAUGCACUGUGGCCAUCGUGUUUAUCUUCCAUCUGCAGCCCUAAAUAAGUGGAUUGGUGCUGAACAUAUAAACUCAUACAUUAUGAGGUAGUGUCAUAUUCUUGAUUAGAUUAAAUUGGCACUUGUUAUGAAACGAGACCACCUGUGGGUAUAUGACAUGAUCAAUGGUUGUAUCCGUCGUAGGCAUGGUCACAUCAGGCUUCCAGGAGAAGGAGCGACACAGUGGUGGCAGGAGUGAUGUGGCGCGUGUCUAUAGGUUGGACAGCGACGGCGCGGUCCGGGUGUCGACAUCGACACAGUGGAGGGGAGGUGCGAAGCGGGCGGUGUGGACGCAGCUCACGCGGGCGGCGUUUGCAGCUAAUGGAGAGGGAGGAUGCAAGGGUGUGGACGAGGAGUAGCGGCACACACACGGGCGUCGGCCUGGGAGGCAACGAUGUAACCGUCGGUCACUAGGCUUCCCCGGAGCACGUGUCGGCGGCGGAUGAGAUGGACGGCGCUGAUGUGGGCCCGCAUGUCGACAUCGAGACUGAGGAGGCUUACGAGGUACGCUCCACCCUGUGCUUGCUCUCCCGUGUUCGGUGUGGACUUUUCUUCUUUUCGGUGUAAACCCGUCUCACUGUGGUGUUGGUUUUGGGGGGAGGAUCUGGGCUGUGUUUAGUUCAGCGAUGUGACUGAAAAGUUGUGUGUGUAUGACAGGUUGAUGUGAUGGAAAAUGACUGAAGUUUGGAUCCAAACUUUGGAUCUAAACAUAGCCUUGGUGGACUGGGUGUUUGUAGGUGAAAAUAGAUGGAUGACCUCAUCCAUGGGGAGGGGUGCAAGGGCAUGGCGACCGAGCUGAACAUGGUGCGCGACGUGCAUCGCUGCGUUGCGUGGGAUGCGAGUCGGUGCACGGCGUUGGAGUGUGACGCGGCGCGGUGCACUGAAGGAGGUGGAGCAGCGCGACACGGCGUGGCGUGGCGGCCUGGCGCACCGGCCCUGCCCGGCUCGGCAUUGUGCCGAGCAGGUGGCGGGCAUGCACAGCCAAUUGGCUUUGCGAGAAGGGGAGGGGAGGUAGACUUAGGCUGCAGGAGGGAUGGGCUUGCGGGUGAGAAAGGAUAGACUUGGGCUGGCAGAGAGGAUGGUGGCCCAACUGUAAUAGAAGUAUUUGGUAUAUCUGUAACAAGGAAUUUGCAAAUGGAAUUUGUACAUUGUCUGUAAACAUGUACCGGGAUUGUAGGGUUGUAAUUGGACUGCAUAUUUGGACUUGGACGGUGUAAUUGGACAUUUGAUUCUGAGUUGAAAUUUGUAACUGGGGCCUGGAAUUGAAAAGUGGCUGUUUGGGUGGGAUGAACAAAUUUUGAUUCGGCCGCUUAGUUGCCCAAGUACGCAACAUAGGAUUUCUUCACGACCGCUCAAGCGAACGAAAGACGACAAUGCCGAGGGGUUUUAGACGCGACGAUUGGUAUACAAAUCCAUCAGACGUGAUAGGGUUUCAAAGGUAGGAAUGAUAUCAACGAUAUUUGGAUUGAUCGCACGACAUUCGACUUUAUCGUAUGAUUGUAGAGUUGUCAAAGGUAAAGAUGGAAUCGAAGGCAUAUGGGUCGACGCAUGACCAUUAAAUCCGUCAAAACGAUUUUAGAGUUUCAAGCGAAUGGUCGACCUCGGGGAUUUUAAGUAGAAGGAAUAGGGGAGUAAGGAAUCCGAGGGAGUCCGAGCCGAAUAGCCGAAGAGGGUUUUGAUUCGAUCGCAAGGUUCCAAGUGUUCUGGGAAAGAAUUGGUAUUGCGAGAAGCGAAAAGUUUUUCGUACUUCGAUCAGCUUAACAUCGAAGUGCUUAACAAUACAACAGAGAAAAGGGAGGACGAGGAAGGAUAUCGUUGGGAGGACAUCCUUUAGGUGGAUCAAUUUGUCCGCGGUAUUCCAGUGAUUCAAGGAAGGUACGGGGUAUUGCAACCGUCUAGAGAGUUGAGAGGACAUAGGAGGGAUUUUACCUUGAUGGGCGAUUCUGGAAGAACUACUGAGUUCGAGUAAUCCCAGACCCUAGAACAAUCGGUUCGGGAGGAUCCGAUUGAGAAGGAGGAUCGAACUACGGAGUUCGAAUCCGAAGGAAUGUAUGACAAGGAUUGGGAUUCAUAAUGAUGAAUUAACUGAGAUCUUUGGCCCAAACAAUUAAAUGCACACAAAUACUCCCUCUGUUUCAUAAUGUAAGUCAUUCUAGCAUUUCCCAUAUUCAUAUCAAUGUUAAUGAAUCUAGACAUAUAUAUCUAUCUAGAUUCAUUAUCAUUGAUAUGAAUUGUAGAAAAUAAUAGAAUGGCUUACAUUGUGAAACGGAGGAAGUAACACAAAUCCCAUUAUGCAGGUCGGCUAGGCCUUUCAAGGAGGAAAACCAGACUUUUCCGUGAAUUCUUUUGAAAUAAAUUCUUUUAAGAUUUUAGUUCGUAAAUAGAAUUUUGCUAGUAAAUUCACUGUAGUCUUUAUUUGUAAAAUAAUUCCCAAACACUUAUAAUUUCGAAAUAGGGUUUUCAGAAGUUAACUAAUAUUAGCCCUCAUUUGUAAAAUAGUUUUCUCGGGGAAAUAUCUCUCAAAGUAUGUUUUAUAAAUAUUUAGUAUUUGUUUUUAUUUAUAAAACAAAUACCUCAAAUAGGUUCUAUUUCCCCGAGAGAGGGUUUUCCGAAAGAUAAAUAGCAUUUGCAAACAUUUUCUAAAUUAAUAUAUUUCAUAAUCAUGGUUCCUUUCACAAAUAAUAUUUGAAUGUAAAAUAAAUUUUGUCCCUAGAUUUCCGUCGUCGUGGUCCAAGCGCAACCGAAAAAUGGGAGAUAAAAACCAAUAAAAGCCAGCAUGAUGGAUUUUGGAAAUGAUUUUUGAUUAUCAUGAAAUUUUAAUUUCGCAAAUCUGGACAGAAAUUUUCAGGGUGUUACACCGACGAUCUGCCGACCAUAGACCCGGACGUUGAGGAAUACUUGGAGAAUGAAGAAAUGGAGGAAGCCAUUGAUGAUGCUGUGGCUGAUGUGAGCGAAACGAGAGAAGCGGCGCAAACACCUCCAGCCGAUCCACCAAGCCCGAAAAGCACACUGAGUCCUUCAAAACGCCAACCCCGUCAACCUCCAGUACGUUACUUUCUAUCCUUUGCUUCAAUUCAUAAGGCUACAGCUUCAUCCUGACCAAACUUUCUAAUUGAAGAGGAAGAAACUGGCUUCCAAGAAAAAGCCACCGACACCGCCUUCAUCGCUAACUCACAACUUAAUCUUUUUUCUUCCAUUUUCGUUAAACGAUGUCGUACUUAUUCUUUUUUUUCCGCCUCUUUGCUCCCCAUCUCUUUCUCAACAUGAGUCAAGUGAGCGAAUUCCAUCGGGUAAAGAAGACCAUCAUGCGGAAAAACCAGAACAUCCGAUCCCUGCCGCGCUUGUAUGUAUUUUCAUAUCCUCACAUAUCAGCUGCAACGCUUGCACUAUUAAUAUAGCUUAUCUCUUUUCAGGUUUUGGCCGAUAUGUUUUCCUUUGACAGUAACCAGUUCAUGGACGAAGAACGGGAGGAGGCUACCAGUAAAGCCCUAGUCCCUAUUAAUGAUGAUAUCAAGGCCAAACUUGUAGAUAUCGCUCAUCGGCUAAGGAACUCUUUGGAUUCCUUAGUCAUCGACUGUGGGCCGAUCAGAGCCAGGUUUGAAGAAAUCCACAGCCAGAUCCCGGAAGCCCUUGCUGACAUCAUUUCUCCAGUUGUGUAUUUAGAGCAACAUCGGUUCAAACUGGAAUGGGCGAGGCAGAGGAUCGCAGACAGGCGCGAGAGGACUAAGCUGAAGGUCAUGAUCCAAGCGAAUCGACUAUCCAUCAAGGAAGAAAAAACCAAACUUGACGAGAUGGAGGCUGGCCCAAGUUCUACUCAAGCCAACAGAGAUCGGCUCAGAACUAGGGAGGCAGAGUUGGUAGCUGAGCUUGAAAAAUGCAGGGCCGACAUAUCAUCGGAGGAGCAAAAACUUGUUGAUCUCCCCAACGCCAUAGAGGAACAGAGAUCCAAACUGAAGAGAUCCAUCAAGCACCUCUCGGAUCUGUCACAUCCAGAUUUUCAUUUUUAUGAUUUAUAAAUUAUUUAAUAAAUUAUUUUUAGAAUUUAUAUUAAAUGUUCAUUAAUUUACAAGUGAAGUUAAAUGCGGGAAAUAAAAUUUUCUAAAUAUAAAGCAUGGCUGGAUUUAAUUUUCAUUAAAUUCUCCAUGACUAAGUUCACUCUUUGCAAUUUUCUCGGAUUUUUCAUAGCUCAAUUCCUAAUUUUAAUAAUACAAAGAGUGUUUCAUUAAUUAUUCACAUAAUAAAUUAAUCAUUAAAUGAUCUGAUUUUGAUAUUGUUAAUUAAAUUGAGUGUCCAAUUAUGUUCAAGAUUUUUGCUGAAAUUAUUUGAGCAUUAAAAGUAUUUUUAACAAUUCAGAGAUCAUUUUAGUGAUUAAUUUAAAUAGAGAAGUAAUUAAAAUCCUCCCUUCCAGGUUCGCCGAAUCUGGAAAGUCCUUUGCUUUGCUGCUCCCUCUUCUCUCUUCCGGUCCAGAAAAGAAAGUCUGUUUCACUUCCCUAUCGCUGCAGUACUCCUUCUACCUCUGGACAGAGCCCGAGCUCCCGUGCCCGUGCACAGUUGCCGCCGCCUCCUCCCACCAAUCCGGCGUCCCCGUUGCUCUUCUUUCCACAUUAGUUGCGGGAAUGGAAUCCUCUCAAUCUCCUCUACAAUUUCCCCAAGAAAUCCCCAAAAGUUUCUAUGAAAAUCCUUUCCAAUAUCGCAGAUCAAUCUUUCCUUUUCUAGUGAGAACCCUAGAAUUUCCUAGAGUUUUCCCCGUCGAUUUGGGCCCGGACCCGAGCUCCCGUGCCUAUAUAAAGGACCCCUAGUCGUCCUCUACUUAACCCCUCAAGUUCCAGCUGCCGCCAUCACCUGUAGCGCCCUAGCCGGCGCCACCGACGCUGCCAUGUCUCUAGCCGCCCCGCGCCGUCGCUGUGGUCGCCGCCGCUGUUCGCCGUCGCCGUCAUUGACAAGCACCUCCCUGCCCUUCGGAGCACAUCGUCGGCCAUCUCCUUCGCUGUCCGUCGUCGCGUAAGUGUUGGUAAGAAUCGCCGUCGCCUUCUCUACCUCCCGGUGCCCUCCGUUUGCACUAUUGUGCUGUGGUUCGCCGGCAACCGCCGCUCCCAUGCCGUUUACCGGUGAGGUUUUCCCUAGGGUCUUAAUCCAAUCUAACCUAAUCCGCUGUCUGUCUAGCGUCGUCAUCUCCAUGUGUUGCCGCCGGGUUGUCGUGAUCGCUUUGGUUCGGUGAGACUUCUAUCUGUGUUCCCUCGGUUUAGGUUUUAAUCUCUUGUUUGUGUCAUCUAGUAGCUGCUACUUUGCCGGCUGUGCCGCCGACACUAGCCGCUUAGCCGCCGCUGUGCCGCUCCCUGCCACAGCCGUGCUGCUGCUACUGCGUGUUGUCGUUGCCGCAGACGUGCCGCUGUUAAUCCGUGUCAUGUCGCUGCCUAGCCGCUGCCCCAAAUCGUGCAACGCCGUCGCUAUCCUGUGUCGUCGUUGUUGUGGUUUGAUCGCUGCCAUAGCCUGGUAGCCGAGUCACAAGGCCAUAGGUGCAACUCUAGGUUCCUACCGACCUGUCGUUUGCCGUACCAGGGCUUUACCGUGAAUCGUGUUUAGCCACCGAUUGAGCCACAACCGUUGUUGAGUCGUUCGCUCGUUCGUUCGAACGAGGUUUCCCCCAUGCCUCGUUCGUUCGUCUGUGUUGAGUCGUCCUUUAGUUUAGAGCCGUUUAGAGUCGCCGGUUUCGGUUGAUCAUUUGGGUGAUCCUGUGUCAUGUAGAAUUGACUCGUUGAGUCGGUAUCUCAUGACGCUCGCUUGCCAGAUCAAUCCAAGCCAUCCGAUCUUGGUCGACUCGGUCAAGACUAAUCUCAGCCAUCCAAAAUCAAUAUAAAUCAUUUCCUCUCUUUUCAAUGGCAUAUUAGUUCUUUUUAUCAUAUGUCAUCUACCAAAUUUAAUCUGAUCUUUUCCGGAGGUUAUUUUAAUCUUUUAUCUCAGUUAUAAAUCAUUUGUAAAUUGUUUAAUUAAUUUGGAAUAGUCCUUUCUUUAAUAGGUCCAAUUGGAAUUAAAUUUUGUAAAAUUCAUAACUAAUUCAUAUGAAGUCAGAAUGAGGUCGUUCAAGUCUCAUAAUUCAUCAUGUUUGUUUACUUUAUAUGUACUGUUUAUUUGGCUUUUAUUAGUCUUUUUCUCGUUUUGCGUGUUAGCUUGUCGUUUCCGUCGUUUCGAAGGUUCGUGAGUGUGUCGGAAGUGUUACAGAAGACUAAUUGAAGACCCAUUAUUGCAGGCAAGUCACACAGAUCCCAAACACAAUUCCUUUGAGCAUGUUGAUCCUAUAUUUAAAUUCUCUAUUUAUUUCAACUGUGUAUUUGUUUUCGAAUGUCACCGAGUGGUGUGAACCUAUUCCUUUGUUAUGGUCAAUUUGCAUUGAUUACCCUAUUUCUUGAUUACCUCGGGUUAUAAUUUGACUAGUUGGAUUUAUAUAUUGGUUCAACUAGAUGUAUUAGAUCUAAUUGCUUAGCCAUGCCUAGAAACAUUAGCACACUAUUGGGAUGAUUAAUGUUUCACUAUUACCUAAUGAUUCACUAUUACCUAAUGAUCAAUCAUGAUUGGCUAAUUAAUUAAUAUGCCAAUUAAAACUUGAUUAAUGGUGGGUUGUGAGCAUAUGGUUUUGAUGGUCGUGCUAAUGACAAUUAAGGACCGGUUCACGAGUUUCGGUUGUGAAACAUUAACCAUGCCAACCACAAGCCAGCAUGGGCAACGGCUUUACCUUUUCUAUAGCAUGGUUCAUUGCGGGGCACCAGACUGAGAAGUGGCGGAGAUAAGCCCACAGGGGUCGCUGGGGAGUCCAUGCCUUGUUUUAUAAGGGGGUGAUUAUGAUCCAGGAACAGUGCGCUAUGAUGGAUUGUGUUAUGCAAGGGGUACUGUCAUAGCUCCUUUCCGAGGUACUGUGGUGGUAUUGAGGCGCAUGGUGACAUGUCAUAGGGUUGUGUCUUGUGGGUAUAGUGGCACAUCUAUAGCCAGAGUAAAACUAUUCGAAUAGUCGUGCCCGCGGUUAUGGGCGGGUCUAAUAAUGUAUUUCGUGAUUAGUCUCACACUUCUCACCAUAAAUAAAUGAUACUACAACUGGUAAUAAUUUGAUUAGCUCCUGGUUUGGAAUGGUACAUUCCUGGUUUGGAGAUAGAUCUGUAUAGCCGGGUAUGGUUGUUCAGGUUUGGUUGGCCCUGUGCAGCAUGGGUGUGAUGUUUAGUGUUGAUUAAUAUUGAUGAUUAAUUACUCUACUGUUUUACAAUUCUCAAAUAAGUCUGUGUACCUCGGCCGAUUCCUGGACGAGGAUUUUAUGCACAAAUAAGUUCAGAAAUUACUAGUGAAUUUUCGGGCGUGACAGGAUCUGAGCAAGUCUUUGAAGGUGAUUCCUAGUACCGACACAAUCGACGCUCAGGCCAUAGAGGAAGUAGAGCAAAUUAGGCAACGGGUUGUGUCGGCUAUCAAUGAUCUUGUAUCCGGGUGAUCAACUUGCCAGGGACAAUUUUCUUUUGUAAUAGGAACUUAAACAAUGGCUUGCCAGUUCACGUCUUUCACCAUGUCUCGUAAAACUUCGAAAACCCACACUUGAAAUUUCCUAGGGAUCUCGAUCUUGCUCGUAUAUGCAUGCCACAUUGAUUUUGCAAUGUUGAAGAGAGAUUGGUAAAAUUAUAUUGAUCUAAGGGUGAUAAUGUACUUAUUGGCCAUCUAAAGGCGAUGUUAACACAUCGGCUAUCAAGCAUCGGCAUGAUUUAACCGAUCAAAAACACUAAGGGCAAUAAUACACUUAUCGGGCAUCUGAAGGCGAUGUCAAUACAUCGGCUAUGAUGUGUCGGCAUAGCUUAGCCCAUCAUGAAUUAACCCAAACACUUGGUUAGCACUUCUUCAAAUAUUUUCCAUUCAUAGCUCUCCCAUAAACUUCUCCGUCGAGCCCCUGUAACAUAUAGGCCCCCUUAGAGACAGACUUGUAGAUUCGAAAAGGCCCUUCCCAAUUCAGCGACCACUUGUCGAAUUUGUUGUCGCAAGUCCCUAUCGGCAAAAUUAGUUUCCAGACCAAUUCGCCCUUUGAGAAGGAUUUGGGCACAACUUUCUUGUUAUAAUGAUGGGCAAUUCUCUCCUUAUCUCUUGUUACCUUUCCCAAGGCCCGCAUCCUGGAUUGGACCAAUUCUUCUCACUCAUCUACCAUCAGAUUGUGAUAAUCAUCCGCCGUUAACUCAUCUUGUAAAGUAAUCCUUCUCAAGCCAAUGUUAACUUCCCUUGGUAAGACUGCCUCAUGCCCAUAAACUAGCUUAUAGGGAGGAACUUGAGUUGACCCAUGGCAAGCCAUCCUGUAGUACCACAAUGCUUCUGCUAAUCUGGCAUGCCAUUGCUUGGGAAAAUCAGUGAUCUUUCUCUUCAUUAGUUUAGUCAAGCUCUUGUUAGAUGCUUCUGCCUGCCCAUUGGCCGGUGCGUAAUAUGGCGAGGAGUUCAACAGCUUCAUCCCCAUGCUGUCUACAAAUUGGACAAACUCAUCGGACACGAAAUGGAUCCUUGGUCGGUCGCGAUUGUCUAUGGUAUCCCAAAUCUAUAUAUGAUAUGCUCCUUAACAAAUGGCAAAAUUGGUUAUAUAGCAUCGAAAGUUCACGUUUUUGGUUUUAUAGCACCGAAAGUUACCGGUUCACUUUAAUAGCAUCCAAAGUUCACCAUAUUCCCAUUUUUAGCACUUCCAUCAAUUUUUCCGUCCGUCUUGAUGGUUAUUCAUCCAGUCACACACAUGAUAUGACAUUUCUACCCCUCAUUGAUAUGCAUUAUACUUGUACUUGUGAGGGGUAGAAACGUCAUAUCGUGUGUGGCUGGAUCAAGACGGACGGAAAACGAUCGAGAAUUGACGGAAGUGUUAAAAAUGGGAACAUGGUGAACUUUGGGUGCUAUUAAAGUGAACCAGUAACUUUCGGUGCUAUAAAACCAAAAACGUGAACUUUCGAUGCUAUAUAACCAAUUUUGCCAGCUUGUAGGGAGGAACUUGAGUUGACCCAUGGCAAGCCAUCCUGUAGUACCACAAUGCUUCUGCUAAUCUGGCAUGCCAUUGCUUGGGAAAAUCAGUGAUCUUUCUCUUCAUUAGUUUAGUCAAGCUCUUGUUAGAUGCUUCUCCCUGCCCAUUGGCCGGUGCGUAAUAUGGCGAGGAGUUCAACAACUUCAUCCCCAUGCUGUCUACAAAUUGGACAAACUCAUCGGACACGAAAUAGAUCCUUGGUCGGUCACGAUUGUCUAUGGUAUCCCAAAUCUAUAUAUGAUAUGCUCCUUAAGAAAUUGGAUUGCAUAUCCAGAAUCAACUUUCUUCAAAGGAAUUGCCUCAACCCACUUCGUAAAAUAAUCGGUAGCCACCAAUAUAAACUUGUGCCCUUUACUCGAGGAUGGAUUAAUCUGGCCGAUCAUGUCAAUCUCCCAGCCUCUAAACGGCCAUGGCUUUAUUAUGGGAUUCAUAGCCGAUGCCGGUGCUCUUUGAAUAACCUCCUUCCCAAACUUUUCUAGAUAAGUGUUGGAGGCUUGCCAUGGAGGGCCUUCGGCUAAACCUGCCAAAACCAAAAAGUUCAAGCAACAGGCUCACGCCGAAGAUGGGCGGCGAAGGACAAGAGCGAAGCCAUACAGGCGAAAGCCGUGACUGGGCGUAACACCACCUUCGCCAAGUGGAGUUCUCGGCAGAAGGCGGCACGAGUGAAGAUGAUGUGGCGAAAGCCUCGGCACACGGGCACAGGUUUCGCCAAGUACACCCUUUACAACCUGGCCAAAUGUCACAAGUAAUGGCAGAAGGGGCUUUGGCUUUGCAGGCACAGCUUCAAGCUUUCCUUCAGCAGUCAUGCCAACCCCACAACAUUUCAGGUACAGCCCCUUCGGCCCAGCUAGAGGAGAACACGAGUCAAGGUGCACCCAGUUGGUUGCCGUCGAAUCAGCCUGGUCCGGGGGCUUCGCCUUGGAGUCAAGGACCGCAGUUUGACUUCGUCAACGCUGCUCAAGCACCAACCAUUCGGCCACAGGCACCAACACCAGGCUUCGGAGCAAACCAAGCACCAAGCCAGGUCGCCAUGGCAUGGACCUAGCCGACCUUUGACCCAUCCAUGGCAGCCCACCAAGCAUCACCAAUCGGAGCCGGGCAGCCGAACACCAUGGCCCAACCUCACGCGCAACCACUGAGUGGGGGAAUCAAGAUCCGUCCAAUCCCAGCCUAGUUCAAGUUCCCACCCGUCUCGCGCUAUUCGGGCAAAACGGACCCAAAAGAGUUCCUGUCCAUCUACGAGUCCGCGAUCGAAGCCGCUCAUGGCGACGAAAAUACCAAGGUGAAGGCACCUACGAGGAGCCGAAGACGCAGCAUCAUCUACUCGGCAUUCGCCAGAGGCCGGGGGAAUUGAUAAGGGAGUACAUGCGUCGCUUCUCGCAAGCCCGAUGUCAAGUGCAGGACAUAACUGAGGCGUCCGUCAUCAAUGCCGCUUCGGCCGGGUUGCUCGAGGGCAAACUCACAAGAAAAAUCGCCAACAAAGAGCCGCAGACGCUUGAGCACCUGCUUCGCAUUAUUGACGGGUACGCAAGGGGCGAAGAGGAUUCCAAGCGACGGCAAGCAAUCCAGGCUGAGUAUGAUAAAGCCUCCAUUGCCGCUGCUCAAGCCCAAGUACAAGCUCAGGUCGCCGAACCACCUCCCCUCGCUAUUCGCCAGCCUCAGCCGGCGAACCAAGGACAACCGCCAAGGCAAGGCCAAGCUCCCAUGACUCGGAGGAAAUUCAGAACCGACCGUGCGGGCAAGGCUGUGAUGGCUGUCGAAGAAGUUCAAGCCCUCUGCAAGGAGUUCGACGCCCAGCAAGUAAGCAACAAUCAGCAGCCCGUUCGCAAGAAGGUCAGAAAAGACCUUUACUGCGCUUUCCACGGACGCUCUUCGCACACCACCGAGCAAUGCCGAAACAUUCGGCAGCGUGGCAACGUGCAAGAUCCAAGGCCGCAACCGGGAGCAGCUGUUGAAGCACCUCGCGAAGCCGUUCAAGAACAAGCACCCCCGGCCGAACAGCGCCAAGAUGUGCAAGGCAUAGUAAUCCAAGUGAUUACAAGGGCUGACCCGCCGAAUCAAUUGUCAAAACAGCAAAAGAAGAUGCAACUAUGAAUGGUGCACAACAUCACUUCAGCGGGCGAAGGGGCCCCGCAAUAUUUGAACCAGCAGAUCUCUUUCGACCCAAAAGAUGCCGAAGGAGUGAUGUUCCCACAUCAAGACCACCUGGUGAUCUCGGCCGAGAUAGCUGGUUUCGAAGUCCGGCGAAUCUUAGUCGACGGAGGAAGUUCGGCCGAUGUCAUCUUCGCCGAAGCAUACGCCAAGAUGGGGUUGCCUACCCUAGCCCUUACCCGAGCACCGGCCUCGCUUCGUGGUUUCGGCGGAGAAGCAGUUCAAGUCCUAGGCCAAGCGCAAUUGCUGGUAGCCUUCGGCACAGGCAAAAAUAGACGCGAAGAGCAAAUACUGUUCGACAUUGUGCGACCAUGAACAAGUUCGAAGCCAUCUCCCAUCACAAUUAUGUCAAGCUCAAGAUGCCUGGCCCCGCAAGAGUGAUCGUGAUCAAGGGGCUUCAACCUUCGGCUACACCAAAGGACGAUUUGGCCGUGAUCAACAGAGCAGUGCACAAUGUAGAGGCUGAACCGCAUGACCGGGCGAAGCACGCACCGAAGCCCGGCCCUCACGGCAGGGUAAUCAAGAUGCAGAUUGACGAUGCCGAUCCUACAAGGCUUGUAUCGCUGGGGGCGACAUGGGCGAAAGAGAAGUUGAGAACAUCCUAGAGGUGCUCAAGAAAAACAUCGACAUCUUCGACUGGGGCCCCGAUGAGGUGGGAGGUGUUUCGACAGACCUCAUCAUGCAUCUCUUGGCGGUCAAGCCGGAUGCCAAGCCAAGAAAAUAGAAGCUAUGCAAGAUGUCCACUGAUCGCCAAGAAGCAGCGAAAGCUGAAGUCCAAAAGCUGCUCAAGGCUGGGGUGAUCCAGGAGAUCGACCACCCCGAGUAGCUGGCGAAUCCGGUACUGAUGCGGAAAUCGAAUGGCAAAUGGCGCAUGUGUGUCGAUUUCACAGACCUCAACAAGGCAUGCCCGAAGAACGAUUUCCCUUGCCACGGAUUGACCAACUCGUGGAUUCGACAGCUGGCUGUGAACUCAUGAGCUUUUUGGAUGCGUACUCCGCCUACCACCAGAUCCACAUGAAUCCGGCCGACAUCGCCAAGACAGCCUUCAUCACAUCAUUCGGUACCUUUUGCCACCUCAGGAUGCCAUUCGGCCUGAGGAAUGCUAGGGCAACCUUCGCCAGGUUAGUGUACAAGGUCCUUUACAAGCAGUUGGGGUGAAAUGUGGAAGCUUAUGUCGACGACACAGUCGUAAAAAUCUGCAAGGCUAUCGACCAUGCGUCCGACUUGCAGGAGACCUUCGACAACUUACGCGCGCGGGUAUAAAACUAAAUCCGGAAAAGUGUGGUUUUGGUGUUCACGCGGGCAAGUUGCUGGGUUUUCUUAUUUCCUAAAGGGGUAUCGAGGCGAACCCCAAGAAAAUCGAUGCCAUUCAGCAAAUGAAGCCCCCAUCGAGCGUACUCGAAGUACAAAAGGUCGCAGGCCGAAUUGCGGCACUCAGUCGAUUCCUCUCAAAGGCAGCCGAAAGAGGCUUGCCCUUCUUCAUGACCCUCCGGGGCGUGGGAAAGUUUACCUGGACACCCGAAUGCCAAGCAGCGUUCGACGAAUUGAAGCACUAUCUGCAAAGCUCACCAGGUUUGAUCAGCCCAGCACCUGGAAGCGAAUUGCUACUUUACCUAGCAGCUUCGCCGGUGGCGGUCAGUGCAGCCCUCGUCUAAGAGAUAGAGUCAGGCUAGAAACUAGUCUUUUUCAUCUCCGAAGCAUUGCAAGGAGCGAAGAUAAGAUACAUUGAAAUGGAGAAGCUUGCUUACGCUCUGGUGAUGGCUUCGUGCAAGCUUAAACAUUACUUUCAGGCCCACAAAGUCAUGGUGCCAUCAUAGUACCCUUUGGGCGAAAUACUCCGAGGCAAGGAAGUCACUGGCCGGCUCAGCAAGUGGGCAGCGGAGCUAUCUCCCUUCGACUUGCAUUUUGUCGCCCGCACUACCAUCAAGUCCAAAGUCCUAGCUGACUUCGUGGCCGAAUGGACACCGGCAUUCGCCCUCGAGCCCGAGCCUGUCGAACAACCCUGGGUGAUGUACUCCGACGACUCGUGGUCGCACAAGGUUGCGGGCGCUGUGGCAGUGCUUUCCUCGCUAGGGGGCGUGCUGAUUCGGUAUACCGCAAGACUGCAGUUCGACACAACCAACAACGCAGCAGAAUAAGAAGCUAUUCUGCUGGGCCUAAAAAAGGCGAAAGCGUUGGGUGUUCGACGCUUGCUCAUCCUAACUGACUCCAAACUGGUGGCAAGUCAUGUUGACAAAUCUUUUGAGGCAAAAGAAGAAGGAAUGAAGAGGUAUCUGGAGGCUGUUCGAUCUAAGGAAAAAUGCUUUGCCGGCAUAACGGUCGAACACUUACCUAGAGGCCAGAACGAGUAAGCUGACGCCCUGGCGAAAUCUGCUGCUUGUGGGGGCCCACAUUCACCUGGCAUCUUCUUUGAGGUCCUAUACGCACCAAGUGUGCCCAUAGAAAGCCUAGACAUCAUGGCAAUCGGCCAGACAGAGCUGGGCGAAGACCUAGAGGACUAGCGAACCCCAUUCGUAAAGUACCUCAAGAACGGCUGGCUCCCGGAGGACGAAGCAGAAGCAAAACGCCUACAGCUUAGAGCCGCAAAAUACAAGCUGGUCUCGGGACAGCUAUAUCACUCCAGGGUGCUCCAACCCUUGCUUUGCUGCAUCUCCUUUGCCUAAGGUGAGGAAAUGGCGAAAGAAAUACACCAGGGGCUCUGUGGUGUGCACCAGGCCGCAAGAACAGUCGCCUCCAAAGUGUUUCGACAAGGUGUAUACUGGCCCACCAUGCUAAACGUCUGUGUCGAGCAAGUCAGGAAGUGCGAAAGCUGUCAGCGCCAUGGCCAAAGCCAAACCGCGCCCCAAUACGAGCUACAGCCUAUCGCACCAAUCUGGUCGUUCGCCAGAUGGGGGUUGGAGAUCAUCGGCCCGUUCCCUGUGGCGCGAAACGUGUACAAAUUCGCAAUUAUGGCCAUUGAAUACUUCUCGCGAUGGAUCGAGGCCGAACCACUUGGGGCGAUCAGUUCAGCGGCAGUACAGAAGUUCGUAUGGAAGAACAUAGUUUGUCGUUUCGAAGUUCCAAAAGAAUUAAUCACUGACAACGACAAGCAAUUCGACUCUGAAUGAUCCAGAGAAAUGUGCGAAGGGUUAAACCUUGAAAUCAGGUUCGCUUCGGUCGCGCACCCACAGUCGAAUGGGUCGGCAGAAUGCAGGAACGGCAAGAUUCUAGAGGCACUCAAAAAAAGGCUCGAGGGGGCGGCAAAAUGUGGGGCGGUGAGCGUCACGUCCGAAACGGUCGCUUCGACCGCUGGAGCUUUUCCCUCUCGUUGACGGACAGGCGAAGGAACCGCCUCAACCCAUUCGCCCUUGGAAACAUUCGCCUUAGCGGCUGGUGCCGAGGCACUCCCACCCGUCGCCGCUUCAGCAUCGCUAGCAGGUGGUGGAGUCAUACGCCUGCCACGAGAAGGUGCGCGCCGCAAAACCGGCGAAGUAGGAGUCCCGUCGGACCCUUCGCUGUCCGAAAAGCCGCGGCCAACUUGCACAACCUUUCCUUUCUUUUUCUUCCUCCUGGCGGUCAUCACCGGUUUCGCAGCUGUGCUGGAAAUCACCAGGAGGGUGUUCGCCACAAUGAUAUCUUGCAGCCUCGUAGGCGAAACAUGAGAACCUGCCCCGGAUUUCGCAGGAGUAGGACUGAGGGUAUAGCCAUGGGACCUAUCAUCCUUAGAACCAGCCACCAGCCUCCCCAUCUUCUUCUUCCUCCACCUCCCCAUCACUUUCGACCGCAAUGUUCGCGCUGCAGCAAGUUCGAACUUGGCCGCCUUUCGUGACCGCACGCUUGCGUUUCUUCGAAGGGCCGACUUCGUCAUCCCCGGCUCUGGAGGGGUUCGAUCGACUUGGCAGUUCGCCAAUAUGAACCCGGUUCAUCCGGCCAUUGGUUUGGCGCUGAAGCAAGUGAGCGAAUUCGGCUGUGGUUAGAGCUCCUAUCAUCUUCGACGCCUAUAUUUCGGCGUCUUCCAAAGUCCGCACUGCGAAAAAUGCAGAACAAAAAAACGACUGUUUAGCCUAAAGGGCACUUCCAUAAAGGAAAUAUGCGGCUUAGAGCAAAAACAAAAUCUUACUUUCGACCCAGUAGGGAGAACAAGGCGGGGAAGCCCAAGAACCUCUUCGCUCUCGUUCACGGAAACAUCCCUGACAUGGGCGAGGGCGGAAAUCCGAAGGAGGCAAAACUCCUCACAAAGGUCCCGGGUGCUUAGCCGCUGAGCGACCUUAUGAAGGAGUAUGAGCCCGGACUCGAGAGUCCCAUCGAUCUCCAUGUUCGGCUUCGCGAUGAUAGAGACGGCGGAACACUCAAAAAGGAGCCAAUUCGCCUUGACAACCUCGGCGGGGUAGGGGUUGGCAAUGUAGAACCAUUUUUGCAUCCAGUUCCUAUCCCACUUGGCCAUUGACGCGGGCACUGGCCAAGCGUCUGAGUGCUCCGGCCGAAGCAUGAAGUUCACGCAACCGAAGACGGUUUUCCUCGGACCAGCCGGCGUCUGCACGACUUUGGUCGAGGCGCAUGCUGUAAAUAGCGUGGCGAGUAGCUCGGCGGUAGGGGCAAACCCGCAGGUUCGACACAUCCAAGCGAAAACCGCCAGCUUCGGGAACGCUGAUGGGCUAAGCUGGGGAAGCCUAACCUCAUACGUCGCGAGCACGGACGACAGGAAGUCGUCACAUGGGAGGCGAAGCCCAGCGGCGAAGUAGGCAGGAAAGACAACCGUUCGCCCAUCACUAGGCGAAGGGACAACGGCUUUGCCCCCACAUGAUCCUUGGCCCUUCACGAGAACACCGGAGGAAACCAACUCGCCUAAGUCGGCCUCCUUGACAAGCGAUUUGCCAAGGAAGCACGACCACCCUUCGCCAAGGCCGCCAGGGUCUUCGCCAGUUGACCCGGCUUUAGUAGGCUUGCGAGGAGCCAUCAAGCUCGCGGCCAAGGAAAGAGAGGGAAAAAGCCGAAAGGCUAAAAGCACAACGGUGGUGAAGAAGCUAAGAGGUGGGCAAAUGACGAAAGCACAGAGCGCGUCAAGCGGUAAAAAAGUGAAGAGUGCGGGGGGGGAUGGUGAGAAAAUAGCAGGCCAGCCUGGGGUUUAUAUAACCCCGUCGCGAGACCGUUCGCCUGCCAACCAAUUAAACCCUGACACGUGUCCAGGGGCAGACGAAACGGUAAAUUCCCAUCGGGCCGGAGCCGAACAGUAAAAAGGCCGAUUGCGGAAAAGGAGAGGCCCACGGGGCCCAUUACUAUUCAUAGUAAUAAAAGAGACAAGCUAACCCUUUUCGACACCUUGUAACAAAUGCGAGAAAGGAAUUUUCUCAAGAAAUUUUUGUAAGCAUGAAAACAAGUUAUUUAUUUUGCAGGACUGCAUCACGGAUUUCGGCAGGAACAUUGGCCGAAAGGGGGCGCCUCGUGGUAUACCAUUCGAUUUGCACGGUCUCGGCCGAAGCUCCCUACUCACCCUUGCCCGUGAGGGGCUUGUUGGAGGCUUGCCAUGGAGGGCCUUCGGCCGAACCUGCGGAAACCAAAAAGUUCAAGCAACAGGCUCAUGGCGAAGGUGGGGGGCAAAGGACAAGAGCGAAGCCGUACGGGCGAAAGCCGUGACUGGGGGUAACACCACCUUCGCCAAGUGGAGUUCUCGGCAGAAGGCGGCACGGGCGAAGAUGAUGCGACGAAAGCCUCGGCACACGGGCACGGGUUUCGCCAUAGCACCAAACCCCGUUGACAGGAGGCUUGGUGGGCCGCUACAUCCUCGGGGGAUUUCACCAGAUAGAUGGGCCGAGCUAUUUAGGCCCAGUAGGGGCCGUAUGUGUAAAGGACACAGUGUGCCCUUCAUAAUGUCCCUAUCAUAAGUGUAACCAUGUAAAUUCCCCUAUAUAACCUAAACCCUAGUAGUGGGAGCCUGUAAUGGGGCUAUAAAUAGCCCCCUAGGGCCAUGUAAUAGGGGGAUCCCAAGAAAAAUUCUCAAUUUAAUACACUAUAACUGUUUUCCACCACCGUUGAGUAACCACGUCUUUCGACGUAUGCGGUUGUCGUUUCGACAACAAUAAGCAAUCAAUACCUUCCAUCUCCCAAAUAGAUACAUCGGCAUUAGCAACAUUAACUGCCUGUCUGUCACGUCCUGAUAAAUUCAUCCCGAAAUAAAAAUCAUUAUGUAAAAGGUAUAAUAGAAUUAAUUAAAAUUCGAAAAGAAAUUGGAUAACACUAAAAUACGUACAAGAAAAACUCGAAUGUGGCCCAGAGAAUUUUUGUUAAAUUCUCCAUGGUCGCGCGUUGACCGCGCGCCUCCCGCGUGGGUCCCGCCUGUCAGGCGCGUCCCUGACCUCCAGCCGCCGGUCUCCCUCCUCUCUCUCCCGUGAAACUCUAUCCGUUUCCUCCCUCAAAUCCGCGCGAUUCAAGCAUUGGAUUCCAAAAUUGAUUGGGGAGAAUUAAUCCCCUUUCCAUCCUCUUCAAUUCCCCCUAAUUUCCCUCAUCAAUCGUGCAUCAUUGCACCUGGAACGGCCGCACCAUUCAUGGCCACCUUCCAUGGCCGCCGGCCGCCAAUCCCGCCGCCGUUCCGCCCUCACCUGUGGCCGGCUCGUUCCCCUCCGCUAUAAAAUGGAACCCCCUCGCUCCGUUCUCUCGUUUUAGCCUCCUCCCGCUUCUCCCCGUGGCAGCACCACCUCUCCCCGUCGCAGCCGCCUCUCCUUCCCCGGCGUGGCCUCCGUUUCGCACGGAGACCAUCGGAGUCGCGUCCUCGUUGGCAACCAGUGGUGUUGUCACCACUCCACCGCCUCCAGCCGCCCCGGUCGCCGCGCCAGUGUGCCGGCCGACAUCGCAGCAGCAAGGUCGCCCUCGGCCUCGCCUCCCCUCCACUCGAACCCCGCCGGUGUUCGUCGUCGUCGUCUCCGUCCGACGUCGCCAUCCCCUCCUUCGGUCGGCCAUUCCUCCUCGCCGGCUCGUUGUCUCGCUGCGCCACCACCGUCGUCGGCAUCGCAGCGGCGUGUUCCACGCCGUCCUUGCAUCCAUGCAGCUGCUGCCGGUUGCCCUCGUCGCCUCCUCGCCGGCCCGGUCGUCGCGUCCUCUCGUCGUUCCCGGUCGUCGUGGCGUUCGUCCCUCCAUGAAGCCAAUCGCGUUCGCCGCCCGUGGUUCGUCAAGCGAGCCGCUGCAGCCCCGUCGUCGUCUUCGUCCUCGGCUCCGCAUCGUCAAGCGUUGCGCCGGCCGCGUCUCGCCUUCGUCCAAGGAUCACUGCCGAAGUCGUUCCCUCGCCAUUCGCCUCCGUCGUCCCCGAGCCGUCUCCGCCGCGCCCGUUCGUCGUCGUCGUGCCGCGCCUCGUCGCGUGGUGGUAAGGAUCCCUCCUCUCGCUGCCCUGUCCUCGUCCUUUCGGUGUCACCCCGUGCCCGUUGUACGGUUGUCGACCCCGGUACCCGUGUACCAGUGUCGGUAGUCGUUCAUGUGUGCGUGUGGUGACCGUGUUAGUGUACCCGCUCGGUAGCCACGUGGUUUCCACGUGUGCAGCCCGCAUGGUGUCUAGUGGAGUCCGUUUGUCGGCCACUUGCCUCAGUUGACACAUGAGGUCCGUUUCCGUCGACCCGUGCACCGUCUCUGUGUACCGGGUCCACUGUGGUCCCUUAGGUUGACAUGUGGGGUCCGUAUGUCAACAACGCAGCCUUCCUGUCUUUUCCAGGCUAGCGCUUACACAUGUUUUAUAGUUGCAAAACCUAAUUAUAAUAAUCCGCAAAUCUUCAUAUAACAGCAUUAAACUUCGGAUGACCAUGUCUUGGUCAUACGAACCCCGAAUCGACCCGUUCAAGUCUUCUAAUGUUUAUUAUAACCUAAAGAACCCUGUGCUUUCUUUUUAUGUAUUGUUAUUGCUUCUUUAUAGGCUUGUAGCUUUGCUUGUGUGCUUCGUGUAGCUUCUGUCGUUCCGGAGGUUCCCGAAGCGUGGUUUGCGGUCAUCGCCGAAGGUUCGGAAGGCUGUUCUCUCUGAGCAAGGCAAGUCACAUCAUCCUUAAGCAUAUUGAAACCCAGUUUAUGAAAUUAUUUCGGUUUAAAUUAUUGCAUUCCCGCGUUACCAUGGUUUUAUUUAGCAAUACCUAUUAAUGUUUGUUAUAGCCUUAUCAUUGCUAUUGUUUAUUAUCACCUUGUACACCCUAGGAAAACAAAACCCCUAUUAGUGGGUACUCUAUUCAUGGUCUCACUAGUAUGAAUUUAGGUAGAUGCUUCGUUGAUAAUUAGGCAACACUAGAUGGUUUUAUAACUUUAGACUUUGGGAGUUCUCUUAUCAUUUGGACAUUGUGAAAUGGUUGACUUGUGAUGGAAUUGAACACACACCUCCCCCCUCUAUUCAAAACUUCCAAAAUGGUUUUAGGCUGGGCUCGAGGUGCAUGGUUUUGCUAGGAGCACCUCGGCUAUCAUAAGGAUCGGUCCUCGGCCCUGAUCCAAUCUAGCUCCAGGGAAGUCGGCGUCAUACUCCAACCUCUCGGGACGGUUUCGACGGAAGAAUUUGGAUGGCUACCUUAGCUCCCCCGGUGUCGAUUCUCGACCGACGGAGAUCCUCGAGUACGACGACUUUGGCUACCACUACAACUACAACAACCUCGACGACUUCGACGAAGGCUACAGAGACAACUACACGCCUCUCUUCUUCGGCGUUUUCAUGGCUGAUAACGAGACGGCAGAACAGCGUCAAGCCCGAGAAGCAGAAGAACAGCGUACGUGACAAGAAGCCGAGCGUCGCUGACUGGAGAAGGAGCGACUAGCACAAGAGCGAGACCGGCUGCAGCGUGAGCAACAGGAGCGCGAAAGGGCCGCGAAGGAGGCUGAGGACCGGCAACACCUCGCCUUGGAGGCUGGGCGACGAGCACGAGAAGCAUUUUUUGGGAAGCAGAUUGCAUGUUUUCAGUUAAUGGUCAAGUAUUACAAGUGUAACAAGUAGAUAAAUGUUCUUCCCAAAAAAAUUUUACAAAAGUGAUUAAUCAACCCUUAACAUAAGUCAAUUGUUCUCAAAGGUAUGCAUAUUAACCAUGAACAUACUUCUUUCCACUUAUAAGAGGAAAAAUUUUGCUUCUUUCAGGUUGGAUGCACUAACAUACACAUUCAACCCUGCAUUCCCUGCAAGCUCAUUCGCCAACAUACGGUUCUUCACCUGCAACCUACCACACUCCCAAGUCUUCCUCGACAAUUUCUUUCAUGAAGUACCAAUAAUGCAAUUCACUAUUCCAUGAUCCGAUAAAAAGUCAGGGACAUCAAAAAAUCACUGCUAAAUCUAUUGAUCAUAUCUCCAUUUUCGUGUUAAGCAGCUUUUGAACAUUAAAAAAAGACGUGAAUAUUAGGGAAUGACCUAAUAUCAAAUAAUUAGAAAGUGUGAAGUUUCGAAUCUAAGUUGUCUAGCCCACCACCUUGUGGAGCUAGCCGGAAACCCCUUGGGCGUUUCUCACUUCUAAGCACAUUCUUUCUCUGCGUAACUGCCCCCAUCAUCACCUUCGGUGGCCGCCUGCUACCUCACCAAAAACUAUUUGCAAAUAUGAUACUCCCCCCGUUUCUAAAUAUUUGAUGUCGUUGACUUUUUUAAAUAUGUUUGACCGUUCGUCUUAUUCAAAAAAUUUAAGUAAUUAUUAAUUCUUUUACUAUCAUUUGAUUCGUUGCUAAAUAUACUUAUAUGUAUACAUAUAGCUUUACAUAUUUCACAAAAGUUUUUGAAUAAGACGAACGAUCAAACAUGUGCUAAAAAGUCAACGGUGUCAAAUAUUUAGAAACGGAGGGUGUUAGUGAUAUGCCCUAGAAGCAAUCAUAGAGAUGAUUGUAUCACAUACUAUGUUUACAUAUUUAUCCGACAUUGUUCCUUGAAAUAGAUAACUCAUUAUUGGUUAACGAAUAUGUGAUUCUUUCAUGAGACUCUUUAUGUUGUUUGUUACUAUUUCUAAAGGAUCCCUGUUCAAAUAUCAUAUGUGGAACAAAUAUGAUUAGAUGAUCAGCACAUGUAUUAAUUGAUGAUCAUGUCUCAUGGAUCAUGGUAUAGAGAUACCAAAUUAAUAAUGUGGAUACAUGUUAGUGAACAUGUUGUUAGAUAGACCCAACAUGAGACACUGCAAGAGCCAUAUGUGUUGUGUCAUCAGUGAUCUCAUUUAGUGUUGGUGUUGAAUCCUUAGACCUGAGAUUAUUAUGGUUCCCAACAUGUGUAGUAGCUUACUUAGGGACUCCUAAACGCUACUCCGUAAUUGGGUAGUUAUAAAAGUAGUUUUCGGGUAUGCUAUGAAACAUGUAGUGAGAUAUGAAUAAUCAAGAUGGGAUUUGCCCCUCCUAUGGAGAGAUAUCACAAGUUAUAUAAUCUAUCAACAGGUUCGAGUGAAUGAUUGAGCUAUUAGAGGAUGGCACAUAUCUAGCCUUGAGCUUAAUCGAUAUCGUGAGGCAAAGGGGUUCAUACAAGUAUACACUAGAGGUUCAGCCGAUAUGAACUUUACGUAUGCCCGGUGGGUCAAUACGUUCUGCUAGGGGCCGCUGUUGACGCGUGGACCAAAAAGGACUUUUCGGGUUACAACCGAGUAUAUAUGAACGUACAGGGUCGCACGCUUAAUGGGCCGGAAUAAGGGGAUUGGAUGGAGAUCCAAUAUGAGCUUAAUUCGGAUAGGGAUCCGAAUAGGAGUCCUAUGGGCCUUGGAGGCCCGAGUGAUGAUCCUAUAUAUUCGAGAGGGGUGUGAUCGGCGGAGGUAUUUGCAUCACGUGAGAAACCCUAGCCGUCACUUCCCUCCCCGAGCAAAACCCAAGCCACGCGCGGGUGCUAGCACAUCUGCGCGUGGCGUUUCGUCCUUGUACGUGUGGAUACCGGUAGAGGCGCCGCUGGUUUGUGGUGCUGAUCGGCGUGGGAGUACGGUGAGGAGAACGCACGAGGAGGAGAAGGUCGAGCCGGUGCGAUCGACUACUUUCUCUACAUCGACACGUGCUACUUCGCGAGAAUUCCUUCGACUUCUUAGCGCCUUUUUCCACUGCGCAGCGCGUCGAGUGGUAACAAUCUAUGAUCUAAUACUUGCAAGGUUCCUGGUUUACGCGAUAGAAAAUUUUUAUUUAUACUAUCGUAGCCUACGCGUAUCCCAACAGAGGGAGUACAUGCGAAACCCAACAUGAAAUCUGGUACAUGAGGACAAAAAUGCUCACCUCAACAUUGAGCUCCAAGAUCAACUUGGUAGUAAUACAGCAGCGUUGAUGCUAACUCAAGCAGCAGUCUGGGAUUUGGCUUCGGCUCCUGCAUGUAAGUACAAAGCCAGGAGGGGUGGGGACUGGGGACGCGGGGGGAGGUUGGGAGGGGUAGCCGAUCUGGAUCUGUGAACGAGAGAGAGGUGAGUGAUCUAGAUAGUUGGUUUUAUAUGAGAUGGUUUAGGCCAUUAGAUUUGUUCAAUAAUAAUAAUGAUGAGUAAAACGAGUUGGUGAAUUAUAGAGUAGAGAUGACAGAUACUAUAUGUAUUAAUAGAGAGUAGUGUUGACGGUCGUUAUUGAUCAGUUUCGACCGACAAUAUUACUAAAACAGGAGAGAACUAGUGAUGCUUGCGAAGCAUAAAUAUGUUAGAAUAAUAAUAUUCCACUAGUGUUAGGUUUACUAACCUUUUGCAGAGAAUGAUCAUAAAGUGGAGGAGAAUCGACAUCAACACCAACGAUAAAUCAAUCGAAUGAUGUCGAGAACCAGAUUUAUGCAUGAAUUGGCCAAGAACUCAGAAUUGACACGACAAACUGGGCCAAAAUUCACAAGUCUGCGAAGAGAAGCAACAGAGGAGGCCGCCAGCCGAAAUUGAGCUGGAUCGGGCCGGCCCCAGGUUCGGCUGAACCAGGGGGUUCG
Molecule: long non-coding RNA, 34785 nt
Filed under: Oryza sativa (Asian cultivated rice)
Lineage: Eukaryota; Viridiplantae; Streptophyta; Magnoliopsida; Poales; Poaceae
Description: long non-coding RNA (OSAT_LNC001507)
Rfam family: MIR812 microRNA precursor family (bases 4542-4729)
Source: RNAcentral